Molecule: non-coding RNA, 23 nt
Filed under: Arabidopsis thaliana (thale cress)
Lineage: Eukaryota; Viridiplantae; Streptophyta; Magnoliopsida; Brassicales; Brassicaceae
Source: RNAcentral
CUCAAGCUUGUGCCUGCGUUGCA